Molecule: long non-coding RNA, 646 nt
Filed under: Numida meleagris (helmeted guineafowl)
Lineage: Eukaryota; Metazoa; Chordata; Aves; Galliformes; Numididae
Description: lncRNA (ENSNMEG00000012903.1)
Source: RNAcentral
UCCUCUGGAAGAUUUUUUUCGUAAGACAAAAUUUAAGGUGUGAGCAGAGCCAUUAAAAAUUGUUAUGUGUAGGACAUGACCGGGAGAGACAGGUACAGUUACUGUAUAGCAACUGAAGUUGAUUUCCGGAAAUUAGUUCAAACAACAGUGGCAGAAAAAGAAAAAAGAAAACAACACAACAACAUCAUGAAAAAAAUAUAAGAAAAAGACAUGAUAUCCUAACAAUCUACUGGGAGCUUUUGGAGAAGAUAUGGAGACUGCUCUUUCAAAGUUUUAAUACUGAGGCCAAUGAGGCUUGCCAGAGACAGGCUUCUGGGAGACUGUUCAAAAAACAGGAAGAGGUUACACUACCACAAUGGGUAAAAGACUUAACAGAAGAUCUUCGCAGCCAUUUCUGUAGGUGCCUUCCACAGACAAGCCAUCAAAAUACAGGAAUUGUAUGUAUGGAGUUACCAGAAUGUGGUAAUUUCAUCAUUAGUCUUCAUGGAAACAGCAUGGGUUAGCCACGCUGCUCAUCAGCAGUGAGCCAAGCAGUCAAUGAAGGAUGGAGACCCCAAUGCAAUGGCAGUGCAUUUUAUGCAAAAUAACUACCUUUUGUGCCUUACUCUUUCUCUUCUGGGGAAAUAAAAAAAUACUUUCAAAAACA